RNAcentral lists this ribosomal RNA (253 nucleotides) under uncultured bacterium. Its description in RNAcentral is "partial 16S ribosomal RNA". It matches the Rfam family "Bacterial small subunit ribosomal RNA", at positions 524 to 776 of the family's 1533-position model. The record is from RNAcentral.
UACGGAGGGUGCAAGCGUUAUCCGGAUUCACUGGGUUUAAAGGGUGCGUAGGUGGGUUGGUAAGUCCGUGGUGAAAUCUCCGAGCUUAACUCGGAAACUGCCGUGGAUACUAUCAAUCUUGAAUACUGUGGAGGUAAGCGGAAUAUGUCAUGUAGCGGUGAAAUGCUUAGAUAUGACAUAGAACACCAAUUGCGAAGGCAGCUCGUUACACGAAGAUUGACUCUGAGGCACGAAAGCGUGGGGAUCAAACAGG